GUAGGGACCCUCCUUUGGGAAGAGACGUACCAUUAAUCCUCGAUACAUCUUUUGAUGAUGAAAAAAGAUCAAAAGAUAGAAAUGGUUGGUUGGACUUCGAUUAGGAUGUAAAUGAUAGCGAAACCAAUGAUAAAACAAAAAGAGUUCGAGAUGAUAGAAUAAAAAGUUCUAUUGAAAAAGUAAAAGAGUUCUACAAUGAAAGGAUGAAUGGGUAACCUAAGUCCAGUCUGAAAUACUUCCUCAUAUAGCUCG
RNAcentral lists this long non-coding RNA (252 nucleotides) under Elaeis guineensis (African oil palm). RNAcentral describes it as "long non-coding RNA (EGUI_LNC042041)". The record is from RNAcentral. Lineage: Eukaryota; Viridiplantae; Streptophyta; Magnoliopsida; Arecales; Arecaceae.